Molecule: ribosomal RNA, 449 nt
Filed under: uncultured bacterium
Lineage: Bacteria
Description: partial 16S ribosomal RNA
Rfam family: Bacterial small subunit ribosomal RNA
Source: RNAcentral
AAUGAACGCUGGCGGCAGGCCUAACACAUGCAAGUCGAACGGAUCCUUCGGAAUUAGUGGCGGACGGGUGAGUAACGCGUGGGAACAUACCCAAAGGUACGGAAUAGCCUCGGGAAACUGGGAGUAAUACCGUAUGUGCUCGAAAGAGGAAAGAUUUAUCGCCUUUGGAUUGGCCCGCGUUGGAUUAGGUAGUUGGUGGGGUAAUGGCCUACCAAGCCGACGAUCCGUAGCUGGUUUGAGAGGAUGAUCAGCCACACUGGGACUGAGACACGGCCCAGACUCCUACGGGAGGCAGCAGUGGGGAAUCUUAGACAAUGGGGGAAACCCUGAUCUAGCCAUGCCGCGUGAUCGAUGAAGGCCUUAGGGUUGUAAAGAUCUUUCAGGUGGGAAGAUAAUGACUGUACCACCAGAAGAAGCCCCGGCUAACUCCGUGCCAGCAGCCGCGGUAA